AUUUGAUUAUUAACCAAUGGUAUUAGGCCACUCUUGGCCAUGAUUACAGACGCCUGUGUCUUUUGACACUAUAUAAACGAGUCAUCCCGCAGUGUUUGUGAUUAUACCCUGAUGAAGACAGCUUGGCUGUCGAAACGUUGGUAUUACAUUUUUGCAUCUGAGCUCCUAGCGUGUGCGGCUCUCUUUUAUUUUCAAGCACUUUGCAGUUCGUCAUGGGGAACUUUUCUUUGGGUAUCUGAACUCUCAGAUCACAGAUUUAGCGAAGUUAGCUAGCAUUAAUUUUGGUUAGAACGCUGAUGGACUACAGAGCAAGAAAGCCAGUUCUGAUACAUAGUAUCAUGUUGAUGAUCAACACAAGUUUAAAGUUACUUCUUGCACCAUUGUAUCAUGACUGGUAGCACCACCAACACAAUGCACGAUAUCUUUCAAUCAAUGGAGUACGGACCGUGUAGUUCCAAGUGCUGGAACUACACGCUCAGGCUUGGCUUGAGCCUCAGUCUCGUGCUCUCGGCUUGUUCAUCGAUGGAAAGUUUGUUCGCCGUGCAGACAGACAGACAUGCAAUGUGACUGACUCUUCAGGUGGUACUGUGUAUAGUACUGUGUGUGCUGUGGAUGAGGAUGUGUCCCUCUCUGUGUCCUCUGGGGCCAGUGGCUUCAAGGCCUGGAGUGCUCUCCCCUGUCAUCUCAGAGCCAAGACUCUACUCAGGUAGCUUACACACUGCACUCAUUUACCUCUGUCUAUGGUUCACUGAUACACACUACAUAUUUUCAACUCGCUCUAGGGUUGACUGAAAUACACACUCAUAAUAAUACUUAAUUUAAAGUGUUUCUCGAAAAUUAUAUAUAUAUAUAUAUAUAUAUAAUUUAUAUAUUAUACAAUUAUUUAUUUAUUUAUAUAUAUAUAUAUAUAUAUGAGAUAACAACUAUCCAAAACACAGAACAAUUGUAAGCAGACAACAUUCAAAGCUAU
Molecule: long non-coding RNA, 970 nt
Filed under: Oncorhynchus kisutch (coho salmon)
Lineage: Eukaryota; Metazoa; Chordata; Actinopteri; Salmoniformes; Salmonidae
Description: lncRNA (ENSOKIG00005033176.1)
Source: RNAcentral